CACAAAUAACAGAAAGUAAUAUUACACUUUAAAUUGUCCAGGAUUGCGAGUCAUUGAUUUUUAUUCGAAAUCCUAGAUAAAUAAAAGUUAUCCAAGUUGGAGGGAAUGGAGGUGUGCAACAUAAAGGCCAGCAGCUGAGCCGAGCAAAACGAUACGAUACGAAACGAAACGAGGCUUUGGAUAUCAAACUGGCCAGCGCCUGUUGAUAUUAGCAUUUAUUUAUAUCUCCUGACCUCAAAUAUGUGUAACGUGCUCCCCCUCUACUCGUGACAGGCUUGGCUGUACAGUGUACAGGCACGCCUCCGUUUUCGAGGUUACCACCGAGCUGAUAUCGAGUUCCAUCGAAUUCUGACGGUGGUGUAACACCAAUUGCUCGCUCUUCCUCCCCCCUUCCCCCUGCUGCAUUGAUAACACGACCAGGAGCCCGUUUUCACCUGGUAAACCUACGGGCAACUACCCCUCCGUUCGAGUUGCUCCAUCAACUCUACGGACACCGGCCGGUGCUGGUGGCUCGCCUCUUUUCUCCACCGUUGCUUCGAUCGAUGGAACACAUCCACGAAACUAACGUUUCUACUCUACUUUACUUUACUUUACUUUAUAAUCCUUUUGACGAGAUUCGAGCCUCGUCAAGGAAAUUAUGUUCCAAGUUUGAUUUGACCACGAAAGAGGAUGCUUUCCGUUUCUCGUUGAAUGUAAAACCAGCAGAAAAACAUCUGGUACAAUGAAGCAGUGAGAUACGGUUAAUGUGGAACAGAAGGAAAGCCAGGAGAUCGUGAAACCGGCGAGGAUAAGUAGAAUAGCAACGGUUACUCCAAAACAGAUCCGCAGAUAAACCUUCACCAGUCAUGUUGGUCACAGCGUGAACCGUGUUGAAUGCUGAGAAUCGAGUUCUCUCUUACAAUCGUUCGUGUUCCUUUUUUUUUUUUUUUUCCUUUUGAUUAAAAUUAGCUUUGAAAGCCAUGCUUGAGCAGGAAACCUCGAGGCGAGGAGAGAUGGAUGCAAUUUCAGAUCGAAAGGUUCGCGGUACAAAUUGGAAUGCGUGUUACACCUAAUGGAGCACGAGUCACAGCAUACAUACUUAGCCGCAAUUAACGUGGAAAUGAGUAAAUCUGGAAGAUCGUUUCGAUACUGAUCAUUUUUCUAAUCUAAUUUAUAUUUUCACGACGUUAAAGUUUCAAUUUCGGCGAAAAAAAAAAAAAAUUCUCGACAAACAUCCAUUUGUGAUAGCGAAGAUAACGAUUGCUCUUAAUUAGCCAGCGACACAGAUUGCCGUCUCUUUUUUUUCUCCUGCCUUAAUCGCGCCACACUCGGUGUUCAGUUAUCUUUAUGCAAAACGAUCUGUUAUCUCUGGUGGUUUACGAGCAUCGCAACCGAUAACCUUAAUUAAAUCGAGUGGCUGAAAAACGAGGCGAAUUCAACGUGGCAGGGAUUCGAAGAUACGAUAACCGUGUAUCGAUUGCUCGGUGAAAUGCUUUUGUUAUUUAAAGUGACAAUUAUUCGCGCGACGACCGUGCCAAUUCGCGAAAGUAUCAAAUUAUUACCGUUUCCUGCUGUAAUUAUCAGAGCAUUCGAAUUGAUCGACGAUGAAUCACAAAAGAGGUUAAUUAUCAGCAUCGGCGUAAUUAGAAAGCCAAGAAUAACUGAAGCUAUUGUGAAGAAAGAAAAAGGAAAAAAAGAGACGUAUCAAGCAACAAUAACCUAACACAGGAACUAAAUGGGAUGCGUGAGGAGAGACAGGGGAUCCUUAGUAAUGUGGACAUCCUUGGCAUAAGCAUAGAAAGCUAGAAAGCCUUUACGGCAACGCUGAUGAUAACCCAAAUACUCGUUCAGUUCGCGGUUAUUCGACUUUGUUCGAGAGAAACGUUGGCGAAUCCAAGCGUUGCUCAGACGAUUCGAUACGAUCCGAUCCGAUCCGAUCCGAUCCAAUCCGUACCUUUCGUGGAAGAAGCGACGCGUGCUCCGUUUUUCGGUGAAAGUGCAUUUCCGCUACCUGUACUGCACGCUGAUAUACGAGAAAUGGAAAAAGCGAACGUUUCUCUCCUCUCGAUCGCGAGAGGAUCUACGUAAAUGUAACGACCACCACCACCACCACCACCGACCGAAUAAAUCGAAUCAGUUGACCUCGUUUUACCUUGUUGAAAUUUCAGGGAGACAGCCGAAAAAUUGAACGGAAAUGGAAGUUUAUUACCUGGACGUAGUACACGGGUUUUUCCGGGGAAAUUGGAUGUCACUGGAAUUGUUAUUGGCAAUAUUAAAUUCCUUUUUUAUGAUUUUCUGAUCAUUCAUAGUCAUUGUCUCAGUUAGCUUAAGAAAACACGAUUUCAUGACUCGGUUCAACGAACACUGACACAACGUUUUAAUACUGUUGCGUUUGCGACGGCAUUUGCCACCUAGUAGAAAGCCGGUUAAACUAUUUUUUGCAACGGAACACGAACGGCUGAGAGAGUUCACUCACUUUCCCUCGUAACCGAGCAAAAUGUUGAUCGUUAUUCGCUAGGAACCAUUCUUAUUUAACACUAGGUUUACUAGACUGAUAAAGAGAGAUCUGGCCACGGAAUAAUGGGCAAGGCAUUGCCUUUUGGUAAGAGGAACCCUGUGACGAACCCCACGGCACUUACCCCAGAACUGACAGAGAGAAAGACUCGUGGCUUACUAAGAACAUUUUUGUUUUUUUUUUUCCUAACAAACAUCUGUUGCUCGUCGAUAACGUUUCCAUUGAUCGCUCCUGUGCGAAGAUUGAACGCGCAAGAUUCGCGGCGAGUCUCUGUCAAAGGCGGGGUUCAUCGUACACAAAGUGGGUAAAGGUAGGUAACCCAUUUUGGGGGUGGUUGGUUGGCUAGCUACCUCCCUCCCUCCCUCUAUCCUUCUCUAUCCAACCUCUUCUUCCCUAUCUAUCUUUCCUUCUUUCUCUGUUUAGAGCACGAACAGCCAGUGCUGGCUGCUGUUCACCGACACAAGCAAACCGGAAACUUGUGCCGUGUCGUUGAGUAUUGAGCGGGGUGAACGCUCUUGCGCAAUGCACGUACAGCAACCCCAACCUCGUCGACCUCGAGGCUGCUUCGUCCGGGUCUCUAGCCUGGCCCAGCUUUGCGAUUGAUUAACCGAAUACCGAUGAUGUUUCCUCCUCCUCCUCCUCCUCAUUCUCUUAACGUUAGCAUUAUCUACUCCCCGUAAAUCUGAUGAUUACGCGAGAUGAACGCGAGAGAAAAAAAGUCGCGAGAAGAGAAACGAUCCGUAAAAUUCCAAGGAUUCCAAGUGUUCGCAACCGUUUCAACCGAUUACCGAGCAAUCAUAUUCUUGCACAAGAGAUUCAAGAAUCGUGUUGCAAAGUUCGCCGUCGCUCGGACGGAGGUGCACGUGCGAAUUGAAUGUCAGUGGCUGGAGUUUCGUCUUGGAUCGAUCGUAAAAGAUAAUAGAAGAGGGUGAAGAAACGAGGGAAAAAGGCGUCGAGCCAUUUGAAAAGCAAAGCACGAUAAGCUCGGCGUGAAGGGGAGGAACCAACCCUUCGAAUAUCUCCUAUCUCGAAUCACCAUCGAGCAGAAGACGAAUCCCAAGCGAUUUUUGCUUCGAAGAUUGCACAACUACUUUAUAAUGUCUCGACCUCUGAUUUCUUUAAUAUUCCAGACGAUCGGAUCGAUGGAAGUUGCAGUGUUUCGAUAUCGAACAUACCUCUCCAUUACGAUAGAAAUUAUCGCAGUGUUUCUUUAACGCUACUCGACACGCUCGCCGUGAUAAAUCACUGUCUGAAAUUAUCGCUUUCGUUCGAGGGGAAGGUAAAGGAGACACGUACCUAGCAUUCUUUCCUUUCCCUGAAAAUUACUCCAUAUUCCAACGUGAAUUUCCUUUUAAGGAAAUGAUUUCUUUCAAAGUCUAACAUCCGAAGAAUUGAUUUAAAUUGAUUUUAUGCGAGUGCGAGUAAAUUCGUAACGCAAAAGAUUCUGUGCAACGUGGCAGAAGCAAAGCAAAGUAGCUCUCGUCGGCAGCCCUGACACGUGCAAACACCAGAAAAUUAUGUUACAACCUCGACUUGUCUGCGUAACCCUCUAGUCUGGCGCGCGUAUAACAUGUGUGUCAACGCGAGUUGCAUUACCCACAAUUAUUUUCUCUAACGUUGUCGACUUUUAUUUCAUUUUUCUUCCCUUCUUUUUGUACCGGGCUCGACUCGUCUUGUCUUGCACCAUUUCUCUUCUUCGCUGAACGUUCCACGCGUCUGCUUUUAAACUUUCAGCCAGACACAAUCCACGGGUUACUCGAUUCAAAUUGUUUACGAACAAUUUCAAGAGAGAUACGUAUAUUUGGUGAAACUGUUUGACGAUCAAAUAUCCUUUACUUCCCAGCGGCGACAUCGCCGCUAUUAUGAAACGUCCUGUACACGCCACUUUCACUAUCGCGGCCAAGUUUCAUAACUGUUAUUAUCGAGGUCAUACGUAGGUUGAAGAGAAGUCGAGAGAGAGGCAGAGAAAAGGGUCUUGGCAUGUCUGUUACCAAUAAUCCUCGUUGCUCGUCGUUGCUCGUCGACGUGAUUUUCAUCGAACCCUUCUCCCAGAGAAGAAUCUUUCUCAGAAAAACAAUCUCUUUGAAAUCUAAUUCUUUCUCAGACCUUUCAGUAAAUUACCAGCUGCGAAUUUACGUUAAUUUAAAGGUAAAGCCGAAAGCUGUAUAAGCGUCCCCUAACUUGUGGAAGGGAAACUCGUUUUACCGUACAGAACAAUUUGGUGGAAGGUUGAAAGGGGAACGGGUUAUACGCAGAAAGGAAUCGGCAAAUAGAAAUACGAACACGGAAUACGAGUACGAGUAUGCUUUUUUUUCGAGGGUGCUUCCUUCCCUAUGCGUUCAAGCUCCGAGGGAGAAACACGCUAAAAUUGCCGGGUAAAAGACGAUAGGGUCUGGUAAAGUUACGCGUUCACCCUCGAGCACCCAGUCGUCGUCGUCGUCGUCGUCGUCGUCGUCGUCGGCGGCGGGGUUAGAAUUUCCACUUCGAAUCGGGAGCCGACGAGAUCCGGAUAAAUGCACCGGGGCUACCGGGUACAGGCAGCAAACUUUUCCGCGGAACGGAGCACCGAGCUUUAUCGAUUGAACCGGUUUUAUCAGGAAGCCGAAUACCCGAUUAAACGGACGCUUGCUAACCGCUCCUGGAAAUACGUACAGCACAAUUCAGCUGUGAAAAUUGUCAUUUCGAGUCACGCUAUGCCCUAAUCUGUUACUACUGAAUCAUCGUCAUCAUCAAAUUGAAAUUCUCGAUCCAGCAUUGCACGAAGAUCAAGCCGAAGAUACUUAACCGAUACGAUGAAACAUUAUUUGAACCCGUGUGUAUAACGACCACGAGGACGUAUAUAGAAGGAAUCAUAGUCGAGAUAAAAAGAGUUCCAUGAGUCAUACACGUAGAAUCUUGAUGAUCGUAAGUGAUCCUUGACGCUUAACGGCUCCACGACCUCGAUUUUGGUAAAACAAGCGGAAAUUGGUUAAGCGUUCACGAGCAUGCUCUUUGUGUCGUUGCACGAGAGCCCCCACCUCUCCCUCGACAACGAGCUGCCCUUAAAUUCAAAUGAUCCGUUUCUUGAAAGAGCAUCCUCUAUUGUUCAUUUCUGGUAUACCGAAGCAUGAUAAAUUCUGUACUGUCCUUUUACUCGCGAUAAAUAUCGCUUAACGAUCAUCGCACGCGGAAUAAAUUGGUAGGAAAGUAAAAGGUAAUGGCCAUCGAAGAAGAAAUGGACAGACCACUCGGUGAAAUUGGUUUGUCUUGAGAAAAGUGAAAUCUGCAUAGGCCUCGUUACGUGAUAUUAGCCACGAGGCGGUAGAAAAAUGAAGCAAACCGAAAACGAACCUUACCCCGUACCAAUAUCCCUAAUGUUAUAAACAUUAAUUAUUCUGUUAUCGCUCUACAUUUAAAUCUAAUCUUGUUCUUAAUAGAACGCAAUCGUGGUGGGUGAUUAAAUGAAACACUCGUGACGGAUAAUUACGAGUGCAUUAAGUUACGUAGUUAUCGUUCGUGAUACACGUUUGACUUUGCAAUUUACGAAAAUGAUAAAUAUUACUCGUAUUUAAAUGAUAUGAAACUCAGGCUAACUAACAAGUCAAGCUUUAGAAUAAAUAUCUCGAAUAAUUACGUUGUUUUACAUCAAACAGAAUAUGAUGCGUACUAACAAAUAACUAAUUCAAAUUGCACGUACUUACGUUACAGCUUUCUGCCAUAAUUGGAAAAUUCCGCACUGUCCUUUGGAAUAACACAAAAUAUCAAUAUCACUUGUUUCUCGUUAGUAAAUUGUUACAAAAUAUUUUUAAAAAUCAACUCUCUAACCCGACUAGAAUAAACCGUUACAAAAGACAAAAUGCCAUCAGCGUUAUCUAGCGGUAAAAUUGCGAAAUUCCAAAGGACCGUCAAUAAAGACAAUUCUGUCGGUAAAGAUGAAUACUGUCUUUUAUAUAUAUAUAUAUGUAUGUAUAUAUAAUA
Molecule: long non-coding RNA, 6451 nt
Organism: Osmia lignaria (orchard mason bee)
Lineage: Eukaryota; Metazoa; Arthropoda; Insecta; Hymenoptera; Megachilidae
Source: RefSeq, a predicted model, not a curated record